AAAGGUUUUGAUUACUGACGGAUAGUUGUGGAGUACCACAGGGAAAUCAAAAUUAUAUGAUAAGGUCGACCGUCUGGGCAGCAUUU
Molecule: non-coding RNA, 86 nt
Filed under: Robinsoniella sp. RHS
Lineage: Bacteria; Bacillati; Bacillota; Clostridia; Lachnospirales; Lachnospiraceae
Also listed under: 1 other name
Description: ZMP/ZTP riboswitch aptamer (pfl RNA motif)
Rfam family: ZMP/ZTP riboswitch aptamer (pfl RNA motif)
About the family: Previously known as pfl RNA. ZMP is also known as AICAR.
Source: Rfam by way of RNAcentral